This 1190-nucleotide ribosomal RNA is filed under the name Pseudomonas sp. IAJ13. RNAcentral's name for it is "bacterial SSU rRNA". It matches the Rfam family "Bacterial small subunit ribosomal RNA", at positions 33 to 1216 of the family's 1533-position model. The record is from RNAcentral. Lineage: Bacteria; Pseudomonadati; Pseudomonadota; Gammaproteobacteria; Pseudomonadales; Pseudomonadaceae.
CCGACAGAGGGGGGGGCCUAAAAUGCAGUCGAGCGGAGACGGGAGCUUGCUCCUUGAUUCAGCGGCGGACGGGUGAGUAAUGCCUAGGAAUCUGCCUGGUAGUGGGGGACAACGUUUCGAAAGGAACGCUAAUACCGCAUACGUCCUACGGGAGAAAGCAGGGGACCUUCGGGCCUUGCGCUAUCAGAUGAGCCUAGGUCGGAUUAGCUAGUUGGUGGGGUAAUGGCUCACCAAGGCGACGAUCCGUAACUGGUCUGAGAGGAUGAUCAGUCACACUGGAACUGAGACACGGUCCAGACUCCUACGGGAGGCAGCAGUGGGGAAUAUUGGACAAUGGGCGAAAGCCUGAUCCAGCCAUGCCGCGUGUGUGAAGAAGGUCUUCGGAUUGUAAAGCACUUUAAGUUGGGAGGAAGGGCAUUAACCUAAUACGUUAGUGUUUUGACGUUACCGACAGAAUAAGCACCGGCUAACUCUGUGCCAGCAGCCGCGGUAAUACAGAGGGUGCAAGCGUUAAUCGGAAUUACUGGGCGUAAAGCGCGCGUAGGUGGUUUGUUAAGUUGGAUGUGAAAGCCCCGGGCUCACCUGGGAACUGCAUCCAAAACUGGCAAGCUAGAGUACAGUAGAGGGUGGUGGAAUUUCCUGUGUAGCGGUGAAAUGCGUAGAUAUAGGAAGGAACACCAGUGGCGAAGGCGACCACCUGGACUGAUACUGACACUGAGGCGCGAAAGCGUGGGGAGCAAACAGGAUUAGAUACCCUGGUAGUCCACGCCGUAAACGAUGUCAACUAGCCGUUGGAAUCCUUGAGAUUUUAGUGGCGCAGCUAACGCAUUAAGUUGACCGCCUGGGGAGUACGGCCGCAAGGUUAAAACUCAAAUGAAUUGACGGGGGCCCGCACAAGCGGUGGAGCAUGUGGUUUAAUUCGAAGCAACGCGAAGAACCUUACCAGGCCUUGACAUGCAGAGAACUUUCCAGAGAUGGAUUGGUGCCUUCGGGAACUCUGACACAGGUGCUGCAUGGCUGUGGUCAGCUCGUGUCGUGAGAUGUUGGGUUAAGUCCCGUAACGAGCGCAACCCUUGUCCUUAGUUACCAGCACGUUAUGGUGGGGCACUCUAAGGAGACUGCCGGGUGACAACCCCGAAGGAAGGUGGGGGAUGACGUCAAGUCAUCAUGGCCCUUACGGGCCUGGGCUA